ACGGAGGGUCCGAGCGUUAUCCGGAUUUAUUGGGUUUAAAGGGUGCGUAGGCGGUUUUAUAAGUCAGCGGUGAAAUUUUCCGGCUCAACCGGGAUACUGCCGUUGAUACUGUAAGACUUGAAUAUGGUUGCUGUGGGUGGAAUGUGUGGUGUAGCGGUGAAAUGCUUAGAUAUGACACAGAAUACCGAUUGCGAAGGCAGCUCACAAAAUUGUAAUUGACGCUGAGGUGCUAAAGUGUGUGGAUCAAACAG
This 251-nucleotide ribosomal RNA is filed under the name uncultured prokaryote. RNAcentral describes it as "partial 16S rRNA". It matches the Rfam family "Bacterial small subunit ribosomal RNA", at positions 525 to 775 of the family's 1533-position model. The record is from RNAcentral.